This 439-nucleotide ribosomal RNA is filed under the name uncultured bacterium. RNAcentral describes it as "partial 16S ribosomal RNA". It matches the Rfam family "Bacterial small subunit ribosomal RNA", at positions 338 to 795 of the family's 1533-position model. The record is from RNAcentral.
CCUACGGGGCGCAGCAGUAGGGAAUAUUGCUCAAUGGGGGAAACCCUGAAGCAGCAACGCCGCGUGGAGGAUGAAGGUUUUCGGAUUGUAAACUCCUUUUGUUAGAGAAGAUAAUGACGGUAUCUAACGAAUAAGCACCGGCUAACUCCGUGCCAGCAGCCGCGGUAAUACGGAGGGUGCAAGCGUUACUCGGAAUCACUGGGCGUAAAGAGCGCGUAGGCGGGAUAGCAAGUCAGCGGUCAAAGCCCGGGGCUCAACCCCGGCCCGCCGUUGAAACUGGCAGUCUCGAGUUGGAGAGAAGUAUGCGGAAUGCGCGGUGUAGCGGUGAAAUGCAUAGAUAUCGCGCAGAACUCCGAUUGCGAAGGCAGCAUGCCGGCUCCACACUGACGCUGAGGCACGAAAGCGUGGGUAUCGAACAGGAUUAGAUACCCGUGUAGUC